UACGAAGGGGGCUAGCGUUGUUCGGAAUCACUGGGCGCAAAACGCAAGCGGGCGGGUCGAUAAGUCGGGGGUGAAAGCCCGGGGCUGAACCUCGGAAUUGCCUUCGAUACUGUCGGUCUCGAGUCCGGGAGAGGUGAGUGGAAUUCCUAGUGUAGAGGUGAAAUUCGUAGAUAUUAGGUAGAACACCAGUGGCGAAGGCGGCUCACUGGCCCGGUCCUGACGCUCAGGUGCGAAAGCGUGGGGAGCAAACAGG
RNAcentral lists this ribosomal RNA (253 nucleotides) under uncultured bacterium. RNAcentral's name for it is "partial 16S ribosomal RNA". It matches the Rfam family "Bacterial small subunit ribosomal RNA", at positions 524 to 776 of the family's 1533-position model. The record is from RNAcentral.